GACUCUGGGGGCUCCCGGAGCCAGCACGGGGCGACACACCAGCGCACCAAGGCCCAGGUGAAUGGGCGGCCCGGCGGCACACGUGCAGGAAGCUGUCAGCCUUGAGGGAGAAGACUUACCGGUCUAGGGACCAGCAGGUGGCCUCAUGGUUACAUCCCUGGACUCCCACAUGGUUGGCCACUGUUCCAUUCUGGUAACCACUGGACUUGGCAGCUUGAAACACACUGGCAGGCUGCACAGCAGGUGACCCCCACGAGCCACGUCAGGGAGGACGUUUCAGACCUGCAGAGCACCUGAACCAGGCUUGCACAGGAGCGGGAAGGCCCAGACACACACCUGGCUUCAGACUCCGAGUGGUGCCCGUUAGCGCCCGAGGCUUGAGCACGAGGGGCCUGCCUUCACGGGAACCCUAAGGAGAAGUGAGUGCCGGCCUGGUUGUCAGGCCAGUGUGAGGAGACCUACAGGACCUCAGGAAGGGACGGGGGUGAUGGAGCCAUGUCCACUGCCGUGACCCAGGAGGGGCACGUCUGUUGAGUCUGGGAGGGGCUCCCUUGAGCACCCCGCGUGUCCGACUGAGCGCUAACGUCUGCACACGUCACAGGGCUCGGCACAAAGAUGUGUGACAGGUGAGUGACAAGUGUGAAGGACAGAUGGAGGCGUCCUGAAGAGUCGGGCCAAGGCAGGGCAGCCGGACCCCACACGGCCGCCGCGUGGCUCAAGUUCCGUUGGCAGAGUCUUGAUAGGCACGUGUGUGCGUGCGUGCCCACGGCCCCGAGGAGAGGGGUUGUGGUGUGGCCGUCCCCAGGGGCUGGGGCUUUCUUGCUCUCCUCCUCUCCAGUGAGCUCAUGUGCUCUAGAGCAGAGGGAAAAUCAUGCAGAAGGACCAGUCUCACUGCCCAGUGCUUAAGGGAGUCAGAGCCCACAUGGCCGACCACAGAUCAAGCCCGGGUCCCGGUCCCAGCGGCUUGAAAAACGCAGAGCCACGCGUGUGUGUGCCCAAAGCCCUGACAGGAUGGAGAGACGGGGAAGGCACUGGUGUGACCACGCCCCGUGGGGGGGGCUUUCCCUUUUCUGUUUCCACGUCUCUCUGGCAAGGGACAGCUCCCCUUGACAAUUAAACAAAAGCCCGGCAGGAGAGAGAAGUAGUACGGCCGGGCCUCGCUGUGAAGGGGCACAAGGUGAAAUACGAAGCCCCGGCCUGGCCGGACAGCACCACGCGGAGCUGAAUGGGGAACUGGACCGCGACGGCCACAGGUGCCGGCACGUGUCCGCAGGAGCGAGGGCGGCAACGCUCUGCCUGUGCCACGGUAGAUGGUGCCUAAAGCUGGUAAACCACGACGUGGCAAAUACAGCAGCCGAAGUGAGCAUGCUGCCUCGGAGCGGGAGAUGCGACGCAACUUUAUAGAAUCCCUGGAAGUGAAGCGCACCACGGGUUUCUUAAUUUGCUGGAGGGCACAUGCACUCACCAGAGAGAGAACAUGGGGACACGAGCUGCAGGUCCAGACCAUGUGGGAGUCAGCACCGUCCCCGCCACGCCACCUAAUGCCCCGGCACUCAGACCUUAAUCAGAACCUCGCCCAGCUGGAGAAGACGGAACACACACUUGAACGGCUGACUUCCUGGGGUGCAGACUUUAAGAAACAAGCUGGCGUAAUGGCUAUGUCGCUGGACUUCCACAUAGUCGACC
Long non-coding RNA from Tupaia belangeri chinensis (Chinese tree shrew), 1686 nucleotides. RefSeq lists it as uncharacterized. The transcript has 5 exons. Lineage: Eukaryota; Metazoa; Chordata; Mammalia; Scandentia; Tupaiidae. The record is from RefSeq and is a predicted model, not a curated record.